Molecule: ribosomal RNA, 425 nt
Filed under: uncultured bacterium
Lineage: Bacteria
Description: bacterial SSU rRNA
Rfam family: Bacterial small subunit ribosomal RNA
Source: RNAcentral
GUGGGGAAUAUUGGACAAUGGGCGAAAGCCUGAUCCAGCAAUGCCGCGUGAGUGAUGAAGGCCUUAGGGUUGUAAAGCUCUUUUACCCGGGAUGAUAAUGACAGUACCGGGAGAAUAAGCUCCGGCUAACUCCGUGCCAGCAGCCGCGGUAAUACGGAGGGAGCUAGCGUUAUUCGGAAUUACUGGGCGUAAAGCGCACGUAGGCGGCUUUGUAAGUAAGAGGUGAAAGCCCAGAGCUCAACUCUGGAAUUGCCUUUUAGACUGCAUCGCUUGAAUCAUGGAGAGGUCAGUGGAAUUCCGAGUGUAGAGGUGAAAUUCGUAGAUAUUCGGAAGAACACCAGUGGCGAAGGCGGCUGACUGGACAUGUAUUGACGCUGAGGUGCGAAAGCGUGGGGAGCAAACAGGAUUAGAUACCCUAGUAGUCC